UGCAGCAACAGCGAUUUCUUCUACACUUAAUAAAAACCCACCAACCAAAUCACGAACCACCCAACUAAUAGCGCACAAUAAUAAGAUUUCAAUCUUAAAUACACAACCUGAACAGCUGAAAAUAAUAAAAUUUCCUCCGAUAACAACACUAAGCCAACAAACAAAAUAAACGACACGUCACCAUUUCCACAUGCAACCUUUACUUCACACAUUGGAUCUGCAACUUUCAAAUGAUUUUCCGGUCUCUCCUUUACCGGAUAUGGUUGACCCGCAGGAAGUUGAAAUUACCUCUUGCAGCCAGCGCACCUUACGCCGCAAGUACGUCUUGGAGUUUUAAUUGCAAUACAGAAACCUAACGUAGUUGUCAUAUUGCUAUGUUCUUCAGCUGGAGCAUGAAGCUACUUCGACAUAACUAACAAUCGCGCAAUUAUGCUUAAUCAUCAUGAGUGAGUCACUGUUAUCGAGUGUUGUUGUUGUUGUUGAUGACCAAAAUCUGCAUUCGUAGUAUAAGAAAGCAUUCAAAAUACAAAAACACAGAUCCAUAUUAUAACGAACGAAUACCCACACCAAGUAAACACGAAAUAAUAAAGAGGCGCUCUUUUUGCCAAAAGUGAUGUUCCUCAUAUCAUACAUCAACGGUAUACUGUUUCUUCACAUGUGACUUCUACUUGUAGACUGCUUUUUCAAUCUGUGACUAUUUGUUGCGGCUAUCCUCUCACGACCAUCAGUGUAAAAAGGAAGGAUGAAAUGAAAUGAAUGAAUCGAUGAAAAUUUGAUUAAUCAAAUUAGACAUCCGAGUGAUGAUCACCAUUUACUUAAAUCGAUCCCAACUAAUAGAACACUAUAAAAAACGUGCCUAUUUACUUUAAUAAUGCUAAACUGAUAUCUCUGAGGUCAAAGGACUGGAUGAAGUUCAAAACGCAUCGUUCUCGGAACGACGGGAGUCAAGAGAGAGAGAGAGCAAAAUUGGGCAGCCUUUCUGUCUUCUCUUAACCCUUUUGUGUACUGUCACGUUCUGUGGAACCAGGUUAAUAACUGAGCGAAAUCAAUAGCAUUAACAUUUUCUAUCCCAAAUUCAUCUGGUAGGGAUAUCCCUAAUCCACAUGAAAUAAUUUCGGAAUUGCCUAGUUUUGAAGCUUGCUGAGCUCUGAUAAGAUUUUCAGUUUGUCGAUGUUAUUACAUCCAAACGCAAUUUUAAUAACUUCUGUCUGUCACAUUCUACUUACCUUUUCCCAGAAUUAGUUGAUACUAUCGACGUGUUGGAGCUUGAUCAAACCGUAAUAUCUUGUAGCAUACGGC
Long non-coding RNA from Glossina fuscipes, 1299 nucleotides. RefSeq lists it as uncharacterized. NCBI's taxonomy places the organism in Eukaryota, Metazoa, Arthropoda, Insecta, Diptera, Glossinidae. The record is from RefSeq and is a predicted model, not a curated record. The transcript has 3 exons.